GACGAACGCUGGCGGCGUGCCUAAUACAUGCAAGUAGAACGCUGAAGGAGGAGCUUUCUUCUCUGGAUGAGUUGCGCACGGGUGAGUAACGCGUAUGUAACCUGCCUGUUAGCGGGGGAUAACUCUUGGAAACGCUAGCUAAUACCGCAUAAGAGUAGAUGUUGCAUGACAUUUGCUUAAAAGGUGCAAUUUCAUCACUACCAGUUGGACCCGCGUUGUCUUAGCUAGUUGGUGGGGUAACGGCUCACCAAGGCGACGAUACAUAGCCGACCUGAGAGGGUGAUCGGCCACACGGGAACUGAGACACGGCCAAGACUCCUACGGGAGGCAGCAGUAGGGAAUCUUCGGAAAUGGGCGAAAGCCUGACGGAGAAACGCCGCGUGAGUGAAGAAGGUUUUCGGAUCGUAAAACUCUGUUAUAAGGGAAGAACAAAUGUGGAAGUGAAAAUGCAAGUCUUGAAGGUACCUAAUCAGAAAGGGAAGGCUAACUACGUG
RNAcentral lists this ribosomal RNA (494 nucleotides) under uncultured bacterium. RNAcentral's name for it is "partial 16S ribosomal RNA". It matches the Rfam family "Bacterial small subunit ribosomal RNA", at positions 28 to 507 of the family's 1533-position model. The record is from RNAcentral.